Molecule: ribosomal RNA, 257 nt
Filed under: uncultured bacterium
Lineage: Bacteria
Description: partial 16S ribosomal RNA
Rfam family: Bacterial small subunit ribosomal RNA
Source: RNAcentral
CGGGACGGGUGAGUAACGCGUGGGUAACCUGCCUCACACAGGGGGAUAACAGUUGGAGACGGCUGCUAAUACCGCAUAAGCGCACAGUACCGCAUGGUACAGUGUGAAAAACUCCGGUGGUGUGAGAUGGACCCGCGUCUGAUUAGCUAGUUGGCAGGGCAACGGCCUACCAAGGCGACGAUCAGUAGCCGACCUGAGAGGGUGACCGGCCACAUUGGGACUGAGACACGGCCCAAACUCCUACGGGAGGCAGCAUG